Molecule: unclassified non-coding RNA, 277 nt
Filed under: uncultured fungus
Lineage: Eukaryota; Fungi
Description: partial contains small subunit ribosomal RNA, internal transcribed spacer 1, and 5.8S ribosomal RNA
Rfam family: Eukaryotic small subunit ribosomal RNA (bases 1-73)
Source: RNAcentral
UCAAACUUGGUCAUUUAGAGGAAGUAAAAGUCGUAACAAGGUCUCCGUUGGUGAACCAGCGGAGGGAUCAUUACUGAGUUUACAACUCCCAAACCCCUGUGAACAUACCUAUCGUUGCCUCGGCGGGAUCGCCCCGGCGCCUCCGGGCCCGGACCCAGGCGCCCGCCGGAGGACCCAAACCUCUGUAUUAAUUCUGUAUCUUCUGAGUGGCACAAGCAAAUAAAUUAAAACUUUCAACAACGGAUCUCUUGGUUCUGGCAUCGAUGAAGAACGCAGC